This is a long non-coding RNA of Cuculus canorus (common cuckoo), 1767 nucleotides long. RefSeq lists it as uncharacterized. NCBI's taxonomy places the organism in Eukaryota, Metazoa, Chordata, Aves, Cuculiformes, Cuculidae. The record is from RefSeq and is a predicted model, not a curated record. The transcript has 3 exons.
CUAACCAAGAGCUUUGAUCUUGGUAUCUGUAAAAAAGAGGUCAUUUGGUCUCCCCAGGAAGCACAGACAUUUAGAAGUUCCCUGUACAACUCAUGCAAGUAUUUUAUUAACAACAAUUGCUGUUCAUAUUUAGGAGUAAUUGUAAAGCGGGCAACUGAUGGACACAUCAAACGUGGAAGCUGAGUACUGCUGGGACGAGAGAAGUUUUUCUGGUUUGAAAUGAACUGCAAUUGCAGAGAUCAGUGUCCACAGCAAAGAGCAAGAGCCCAUCUGUCCAGAAGGCUGCCACAGACAGCUCUGUUGCCAUGAGCAGAUGAGGAAGAAAAGUGUUCUACAACGCCCGAGUCAACAAGAAGAUGUUAGCAGAGUCACAAACUACAUACGUGCAAAAAUGUUUGAGAUUUUAGCGCUCAGAGUUCUGCGCAAGUUCUUCCUUGGUUUUCAUUGUCAAGACUCUUGUUUCAAGGCAUUGUGUCCCUGGGUCCCAGGCAAAGCAAUAUGGUCAAAUGUCUGACCAGAACUGCACCCUAAACACAAUCUGUUCAUGAAAUCUGUCCUGGACCAUUGAAUUUAAGCAGCUCUGUGAAAGUAAUGGUAAGAUUCCACAGUAAUGCUUAAAACCAGGCAAAAAUCCUUCAGUCGAGUUCUGAUGGCCAGCUUUUUAAUACAAACUACUGGAUGAAAACUGCACAAAGAUCCAGUCUUUAGUGAAAUUAUUUAUAAAUAAGCAUUUUGGAGAUUUGUCCAAUAAAUGAAGACUUUUUCCACAGGCAGUGAUACUACGAUCACCCCCUGUAUGUUGCAUGCAUCUGCCAGGGUAUGCGAUGGUGAGAGCGGUUCCUCACAGGAAACCUGUGCAGACUCUGCUGUUUACCCACUUUCAUGCUUCUCGUAGACAAUGUGAUGAUUACAUUAAGAAUAUUGUUUCUAACUCACAUGACUGCUAAGGGACUACACACUGCAAUUUAUCAUAAUUAAGACAAUUAUACAGUUAAGCACCAUGAACAUUCAGUAGCCAAAGUUUUGCCCAGUGUAAGAAAACAUAAAUGCUCCAUAUACUGCAAUAUAGUUCUUGGGCACCUUCAGAGUUUUGAUUGCAGAUGAGCAUAAGUGCGUCCACAGUGCACAGGCCAUAGCAGAUUCUCUGCCUUAUUGCCAAGUGGAUAGAUUUCCAUCACUCCAUAGGUGAUCGGUUCCCAUGGGAACUUGACCUCCAAGGCUGUUAUUUGACCCAGGCUUGAGAUGUCACCAAGGGAAGAUACUUAGCACAUUUCCUCUGCCUUCUACAUCCAUCUGAAAUGUGUUUAGCUAACUAUUGAGGUACCUUGCAUGUAAAACCCUGAACCACAAUUGUAACCUCUCCAGAUUCCUUUAUUCACAUGGUAUUUGAUUUGGAUGACAUAUUUUUACAAUAUUUAUUUUUUGGCCCAUUUUGAGACUCUUAUGUUAAUGCCACAAGAACUUCAGUCUCCUGUAUAAUAUUUCAGGCAUGGAGGGGAAAACUGAAGAAAUAAAGAGAAAGAAAAACCAGCCGUCUGCAUCCACUUAAACUACGUUACAAUAAAGCUCAGUAAAGGUUUGAUCAGCAGGUUUUUUUAGCCUGCUCUGGUUUAAUAUGAAAGAAAUUAGUGGAAAACCUAAAGGCUGAAAGGAAAUUUUUGCCACUGUUCAAAACAGGACAUGAAACCUUUAACAUAAUAUUUACACACAUUAUAUUAAAUACUUUCUGCAAAGUUAAAAUUUAACAGUACCAGCUUCAGACAGACU